GGGGCAUUGGCUCAGCUGGUAGAGCGCUGCGUUCGCAAUGCAGAGAUCAGGGGUUCGAAUCCCCUAUGCUCCACCA
RNAcentral lists this transfer RNA (76 nucleotides) under Clostridiales bacterium. RNAcentral describes it as "tRNA-Ala". It matches the Rfam family "tRNA". From Rfam's summary of the family: Transfer RNA (tRNA) molecules are approximately 80 nucleotides in length. Their secondary structure includes four short double-helical elements and three loops (D, anti-codon, and T loops). Further hydrogen bonds mediate the characteristic L-shaped molecular structure. tRNAs have two regions of fundamental functional importance: the anti-codon, which is responsible for specific mRNA codon recognition, and the 3' end, to which the tRNAs corresponding amino acid is attached (by aminoacyl-tRNA synthetases). tRNAs cope with the degeneracy of the genetic code in two manners: having more than one tRNA (with a specific anti-codon) for a particular amino acid; and 'wobble' base-pairing, i.e. permitting non-standard base-pairing at the 3rd anti-codon position. The record is from RNAcentral. Lineage: Bacteria; Bacillati; Bacillota; Clostridia; Eubacteriales.